CGGAGGACUGAGAAGGUGAGGCAGUUCUGAACCAUGCUGCCUUCCACUGGUUAAGACCUCCGAGAGCGAAGGCCUGCAGAGGCAGAGGAAGUCCCUCUGCCGCCCCCAGAGGGGCAGCACUGUGUUGGCCGACACUUG
This is a small nucleolar RNA of Bos mutus (wild yak), 138 nucleotides long. Ensembl annotates it as small nucleolar RNA, H/ACA box 47. Its record names the gene SNORA47. The record is from Ensembl. Lineage: Eukaryota; Metazoa; Chordata; Mammalia; Artiodactyla; Bovidae.